UUGAACGCUGGCGGCAUGCCUUACACAUGCAAGUCGAACGGUAACAGGUCUUCGGAUGCUGACGAGUGGCGAACGGGUGAGUAAUACAUCGGAACGUGCCCGACCGUGGGGGAUAACGCAGCGAAAGCUGUACUAAUACCGCAUACGAUCUACGGAUGAAAGCGGGGGACUCGCAAGAGCCUCGCGCGGACGGAGCGGCCGAUGGCAGAUUAGGUAGUUGGUGGGAUAAAAGCUUACCAAGCCGACGAUCUGUAGCUGGUCUGAGAGGACGACCAGCCACACUGGGACUGAGACACGGCCCAGACUCCUACGGGAGGCAGCAGUGGGGAAUUUUGGACAAUGGGCGAAAGCCUGAUCCAGCCAUGCCGCGUGCAGGAUGAAGGCCUUCGGGUUGUAAACUGCUUUUGUACGGAACGAAAGGACUCCUUCUAAUAAAGGGGGUUCAUAACGGUACUGUAAGAAUAAGCACCGGCUAACUACGU
RNAcentral lists this ribosomal RNA (482 nucleotides) under uncultured bacterium. RNAcentral's name for it is "bacterial SSU rRNA". It matches the Rfam family "Bacterial small subunit ribosomal RNA", at positions 30 to 506 of the family's 1533-position model. The record is from RNAcentral.